CUAGAAUCUCCUCUAACGCCACCCUUCCAAACACCCAUCUAUGCUGGGUGCAGUGAGGCCACAGCAUGACACUCAUUUAACUCAUUCAAACCCACCAUGUGAGCUUGGCCAAAAGGGACAUGGUGGGAGAGAAAAACAAAGAAAACCAUGUAAGCCUGCAGGCAAUUCCCGCCAAUUCUACUCUAGGAGCAAAAGCCCCGAGUGGAGUUCUAGUAUUUAAG
RNAcentral lists this long non-coding RNA (221 nucleotides) under Homo sapiens (human). Its description in RNAcentral is "HSALNT0068331". Lineage: Eukaryota; Metazoa; Chordata; Mammalia; Primates; Hominidae. The record is from RNAcentral.